Transfer RNA from Cylindrobasidium torrendii FP15055 ss-10, 92 nucleotides. It matches the Rfam family "tRNA". Rfam says of the family: Transfer RNA (tRNA) molecules are approximately 80 nucleotides in length. The record is from Rfam. Lineage: Eukaryota; Fungi; Basidiomycota; Agaricomycetes; Agaricales; Physalacriaceae.
GGUAGCGUGGCCGAGUGGUUAAGGCGUUGGAUUUAAGCGAGCCUCGCUUCCCAAUGGAGCAAUCCGCGCGAGUUCGAACCUCGCCGCUACCA